This 301-nucleotide ribosomal RNA is filed under the name uncultured bacterium. RNAcentral's name for it is "partial 16S ribosomal RNA". It matches the Rfam family "Bacterial small subunit ribosomal RNA", at positions 509 to 807 of the family's 1533-position model. The record is from RNAcentral.
CAGCAGCCGCGGGAAUACGUAGGUGGCAAGCGUUGUCCGGAAUUAUUGGGCGUAAAGGGCUCGCAGGCGGUUUCUUAAGUCUGAUGUGAGAGCCCCCGGCUCAACCGGGGAGGGUCAUUGGAGACUGGGAAACUUGAGUGCAGAAGAGGAGAGUGGAAUUCCACGUGUAGCGGUGAAAUGCGUAGAGAUGUGGAGGAACACCAGUGGCGAAGGCGACUCUCUGGUCUGUAACUGACGCUGAGGAGCGAAAGCGUGGGGAGCGAACAGGAUUAGAUACCCCCGUAGUCCCUGUCUCUUAUAC